AUUGAACGCUGGCGGCAGGCCUAACACAUGCAAGUCGAACGAGUGGCGGACGGGUGAGUAAUGUCUGGGAAACUGCCUGAUGGAGGGGGAUAACUACUGGAAACGGUAGCUAAUACCGCAUACCAUCGGAUGUGCCCAGAUGGGAUUAGCUAGUAGGUGGGGUAAAGGCUCACCUAGGCGACGAUCCCUAGCUGGUCUGAGAGGAUGACGAGGAAAAAGGGAACGGAGACACGGGCCAGAGUCCUAAGGGAGGCAGCAGUGGGGAAUAUGGCACAAGGGGCGCAAGCCUGAUGGAGCAAGGCCGCGUGUAUGAAGAAGGAGUGCGGGUUGUAAAGUACGGUCAGCGGGGAGGCGUUACCCGCAGAAGAAGCACCGGCUAACUCCGUGCCAGCAGCCGCGGUAAUUC
RNAcentral lists this ribosomal RNA (406 nucleotides) under uncultured bacterium. Its description in RNAcentral is "partial 16S ribosomal RNA". It matches the Rfam family "Bacterial small subunit ribosomal RNA", at positions 29 to 526 of the family's 1533-position model. The record is from RNAcentral.